This 431-nucleotide ribosomal RNA is filed under the name uncultured bacterium. RNAcentral describes it as "partial 16S ribosomal RNA". It matches the Rfam family "Bacterial small subunit ribosomal RNA", at positions 29 to 507 of the family's 1533-position model. The record is from RNAcentral.
AACGAACGCUGGCGGCAGGCCUAACACAUGCCAGUCGAGCGCGCCUUCGGGUGAGCGGCGGACGGGUGUGUAACGCGUGGGAAUAUGCCCUUCUCUACGGAAUAGUCCUGGGAAACUGGGGGUAAUACCGUAUACGCCCUUUGGGGGAAAGAUUUAUCGGGGAAGGAUUAGCCCGCGUUGGAUUAGGUAGUUGGUGGGGUAAUGGCCUACCAAGCCGACGAUCCAUAGCUGGUUUGAGAGGAUGAUCAGCCACACUGGGACUGAGACACGGCCCAGACUCCUACGGGAGGCAGCAGUGGGGAAUCUUAGACAAUGGGGGCAACCCUGAUCUAGCCAUGCCGCGUGAGUGAUGAAGGCCUUAGGGUUGUAAAGCUCUUUCAGCUGGGAAGAUAAUGACGGUACCAGCAGAAGAAGCCCCGGCUAACUCCGUG